CAGCAGUGGGGAAUAUUGCACAAUGGGGGGAAACCCUGGAUGCAGCCAUGCCGCGUGUGUGAAGAAGGCCUUCGGGUUGUAAAGCACUUUCAGUAGGGAGGAAGGUAGUGUAGUUAACACCUGCACUAUUUGACGUUACCUACAGAAGAAGCACCGGCUAACUCCGUGCCAGCAGCCGCGGUAAUACGGAGGGUGCGAGCGUUAAUCGGGAAUUACUGGGCGUAAAAGCGCAUGCAGGCGGCCUGUUAAGUCAGAUGUGAAAGCCCGGGGCUUAACCUCGGAAUUGCAUUUGAAACUGGCAGGCUAGAGUCUUGUAGAGGGGGUAGAAUUUCAGGUGUAGCGGUGAAAAUGCGUAGAGAUCUGAAGGAAUACCAGUGGCGAAGGCGGCCCCCUGGACAAAGACUGACGCUCAGAUGCGAAAGCGUGGGGAGCAAACAGGAUUAGAUACCCUGGUAG
Molecule: ribosomal RNA, 456 nt
Filed under: uncultured bacterium
Lineage: Bacteria
Description: bacterial SSU rRNA
Rfam family: Bacterial small subunit ribosomal RNA
Source: RNAcentral